This 465-nucleotide ribosomal RNA is filed under the name uncultured Klebsiella sp. Its description in RNAcentral is "bacterial SSU rRNA". It matches the Rfam family "Bacterial small subunit ribosomal RNA", at positions 338 to 795 of the family's 1533-position model. Lineage: Bacteria; Pseudomonadati; Pseudomonadota; Gammaproteobacteria; Enterobacterales; Enterobacteriaceae. The record is from RNAcentral.
CCUACGGGUGGCAGCAGUGGGGAAUAUUGCACAAUGGGCGCAAGCCUGAUGCAGCCAUGCCGCGUGUGUGAAGAAGGCCUUCGGGUUGUAAAGCACUUUCAGCGGGGAGGAAGGCGGUGAGGUUAAUAACCUCAUCGAUUGACGUUACCCGCAGAAGAAGCACCGGCUAACUCCGAGCCAGCAGCCGCGGUAAUACGGAGGGUGCAAGCGUUAAUCGGAAUUACUGGGCGUAAAGCGCACGCAGGCGGUCUGUCAAGUCGGAUGUGAAAUCCCCGGGCUCAACCUGGGAACUGCAUUCGAAACUGGCAGGCUAGAGUCUUGUAGAGGGGGGUAGAAUUCCAGGUGUAGCGGUGAAAUGCGUAGAGAUCUGGAGGAAUACCGGUGGCGAAGGCGGCCCCCUGGACAAAGACUGACGCUCAGGUGCGAAAGCGUGGGGAGCGAACAGGAUUAGAUACCCCGGUAGUC